RNAcentral lists this ribosomal RNA (775 nucleotides) under Salmonella enterica subsp. enterica serovar Kentucky. Its description in RNAcentral is "partial 23S ribosomal RNA". It matches the Rfam family "Bacterial large subunit ribosomal RNA", at positions 1 to 816 of the family's 2925-position model. The record is from RNAcentral. Lineage: Bacteria; Pseudomonadati; Pseudomonadota; Gammaproteobacteria; Enterobacterales; Enterobacteriaceae.
GGUUAAGCGACUAAGCGUACACGGUGGAUGCCCUGGCAGUCAGAGGCGAUGAAGGGCGUGCUAAUCUGCGAUAAGCGCCGGUAAGGUGAUAUGAACCGUUAUAACCGGCGAUACCCGAAUGGGGAAACCCAGUGUGAUUCGUCACACUAUCAUUAACUGAAUCCAUAGGUUAAUGAGGCGAACCGGGGGAACUGAAACAUCUAAGUACCCCGAGGAAAAGAAAUCAACCGAGAUUCCCCCAGUAGCGGCGAGCGAACGGGGAGGAGCCCAGAGCCUGAAUCAGCAUGUGUGUUAGUGGAAGCGUCUGGAAAGGCGCGCGAUACAGGGUGACAGCCCCGUACACAAAAGCGCAUGUGCUGUGAGCUCGAUGAGUAGGGCGGGACACGUGGUAUCCUGUCUGAAUAUGGGGGGACCAUCCUCCAAGGCUAAAUACUCCUGACUGACCGAUAGUGAACCAGUACCGUGAGGGAAAGGCGAAAAGAACCCCGGCGAGGGGAGUGAAAAAGAACCUGAAACCGUGUACGUACAAGCAGUGGGAGCACAGGUUUACCUGUGUGACUGCGUACCUUUUGUAUAAUGGGUCAGCGACUUAUAUUCUGUAGCAAGGUUAACCGAAUAGGGGAGCCGUAGGGAAACCGAGUCUUAACCGGGCGUUAAGUUGCAGGGUAUAGACCCGAAACCCGGUGAUCUAGCCAUGGGCAGGUUGAAGGUUGGGUAACACUAACUGGAGGACCGAACCGACUAAUGUUGAAAAAUUAGCGGAUGACCUGUGGCU